AGGUUGGCUCAGAAGCAGCCAUCCUUUAAAGAGUGCGUAACAGCUCACUAGUCGAGUGACCCUGCGCCGAAAAUGUACCGGGGCUAAGCCUGAUACCGAAACUGCGGAUUGUAGGAAACUAUAGUGGUAGGGGAGCGUUGUAUACGAGUAGAAGCCGUACCGUGAGGAGCGGUGGAUUGUAUAGAAGUGAGAAUGCCGGUGUGAGUAGCGAGAUGUAGGUGAGAAUCCUACACACCGAAAGCCCAAGGAUUCCAGGGGAAGGUUCGUCCGCCCUGGGUAAGUCGGGACCUAACGCGAGGCCGAAAGGCGUAGUGGAUGGAAAGCAGGCGAAAGAUUCCUGCACCCGUAUAUGGAGCGAAGGAGUGACGGAGACGGAUAGUGUGACCCUCUUAAUGGAUUGAGGGCGAAGCGAAGCGGCUGGUUACCAGGCAAAUCCGGUAACCUUAAGGCUAGAGCGUGACAGGCAAGCGAAAUCUAAGGAAAGUAGCGAAGCACAUGAUGACGGCUUCCAGGAAAAGCUUCUGGCAAUGCAUAUGCGGCCCGUACCAAAACCGACACAGGUGGGCAGGGAGAGAAUCCCGAGGUGAGCGAGAGAACUGUUGCCAAGGAACUCGGCAAAAUGACUCCGUAAGUUAGCGAGAAGGAGUGCUUAAGCAAUUAAGCCGCAGUGAAGAGGCCCAAGCGACUGUUUAACUAAAACACAGCUCUCUGCGAAGUCGCAAGACGAAGUAUAGGGGGUGACACCUGCCCGGUGCUGGAAGGUUAAGAGGAUCUGUUAAGAGCGAUCUGAAGCAGUGAUCCGAAGCCCCAGUGAACGGCGGCCGUAACUAUAACGGUCCUAAGGUAGCGAAAUUCCUUGUCAGGUAAGUUCUGACCCGCACGAAAGGUGUAACGAUUUGGGCGCUGUCUCGGCAGCAGACUCGGUGAAAUCUUAGUACCUGUGAAAAUGCAGGUUACCCGCAACUAGACGGAAAGACCCCAUGGAGCUUUACUGCAGCCUGAUAUUGAAUUCUGGUCAUACAUGUACAGGAUAGGUGGGAGACAAAGAGACGUGCACGCCAGUGUACGAGGAGUCGUCGUUGGGAUACCACUCUUGUGUGACCGGGGUUCUAACCUGGUAUCGAUAACAGGUACGGGGAGAGUGUCAGGUGGGCAGUUUGACUGGGGCGGUCGCCUCCCAAAGAGUAACGGAGGCGCCCAAAGGUACGCUCAGAUUGGAUGGAAACCAAUCGACGAGUGCAAUUGCAGAAGCGUGCUUGACUGUGAGACUUACAAGUCGAACAGGGACGAAAGUCGGGAAUAGUGAUCCGGCGGUGCCGAAUGGAAGGGCCGUCGCUCAACGGAUAAAAGCUACCCUGGGGAUAACAGGCUGAUCUCGCCCAAGAGUUCACAUCGACGGCGAGGUUUGGCACCUCGAUGUCGGCUCAUCGCAUCCUGGAGCUGGAUUCGGUUCCAAGGGUUGGGCUGUUCGCCCAUUAAAGCGGUACGCGAGCUGGGUUCAGAACGUCGUGAGACAGUUCGGUCCCUAUCUGUUGUGGGCGAAGGAGAUCUGCGGAGAGCUGUCCUCAGUACGAGAGGACCGGGAUGGACCUACCGCUGGUGCACCGGUUGUUCCGCCAGGGGCAUAGCCGGGUAGCUAAGUAGGGAAAGGAUAAGCGCUGAAAGCAUCUAAGCACGAAGCCUACUCCAAGAUGAGAUCUCCCAUUCGCAAGAAGUAAGACCCCUUAAAGACGAUAAGGUAGAUAGGCCAGGGAUGGAAGUGCAGUGAUGUACGGAGUUGACUGGUACUAAUCGGUCGAGGACUUAAUCAG
This 1811-nucleotide ribosomal RNA is filed under the name metagenome. Its description in RNAcentral is "bacterial LSU rRNA". It matches the Rfam family "Bacterial large subunit ribosomal RNA", at positions 1098 to 2925 of the family's 2925-position model. The record is from RNAcentral.